GCUCAACGCCGCCCUGUGCUCAGCGGUCUGCGCAGAGGCUGCUCGGCAGCCAGGUGGACGUGUGCUCACCGAGGCGGCUCGUCAGGGCCAGAAGAGGCGCCGGGUCAGGGCGGCCCCAGGUGGAUCGCUGCUGCGUCCUGACGUCCACUGCUCAUCAGCUUUGGGGUCUGUGUCCCGCUCGGCCCGCUCGGCCCUGGAGUCCCGCUGUCCCCAGGCGUCCAGGACUUGUCUGGUUUCCUAGUCAUGGACUUACAUAAAAUGAUGUUCACUGUUACUUGCGUAAUUAUUUUGCUUGUGAUCCUUGGAGUGAUCCUCGCAGCAACGUUGUCUUAGCAACCACAUCCCAGAAUUGUCACCCGUCACAGGCCACGCCCCCGCAGCAUCGGUGGAUGGAGCCCAGUGGGCGUCAGGGUGUGGACCCCAGGCCCACGUGCUAAGCCCCGGAUGCCGGGCUCAGGAGCCUCAUGGAGGCCCUGGCAUCGGGAGUGACUGCCGAUGUCACUUCGAGAAACUGUCCAGUGUUAAGAGUGUGCACGUGGAAUUAGGGCCCUGCUGUGAGGCUAUGAAAUGGAGGCAGGUCCAGCGCAGCUAACACCUGCUGAUGAAGAGACGGUUGGUCAUAGCGUCAUCGUGUGUGUGUCCUCCUGGCGGAAAUAAUUCUCAUUACCCCAGAGCUGUUUUGUGCAAUAUCUGUAAUUUUAGAUGUUUAUAAAUUAAUGAAUAUUCUGACACAUUCACUCCACUUUGCAUGCUAAGUGCUGGCUUGUGAAGGGGCUGGGCGGCUGCGCAGUUUGCCAGCCUCGGGAGCCAUGGGUUGGGGCCCUGCGCCCUCCUCUUCUGUGGAUGCUGACUGAGGAAGGCCCGGCUCCUCAGGGAGGGCAGCUCAUUUCUACCUUCUCCCUUACCCAGUGAUAAAUAAUUAGUUACUGCACUGUAAAGACAAUGGUCUGUUCUUUGAUCAUGAAAAAUAGGGCUUGUAGCUGACCUGGUGCCACAUCCUUGUAGUGCCAGAACCCUGGGGGCAGAGGCAGGAGGAUCGAAAGUUUGAGCCCAACCUGGGCAACUUAGUGACUUAGCAAGAUCCUGUCUCAAAGCAAAAAGGCUGUGGCUCCGUGCGAAGGCCCUGGGUUCAUCCCCAGGACCGCGUUCUCUGCACGCUGACAAAGUCUGGAUUUCAGGUGGUGGUGGAGAGUGUUAGUGGUCUCUAAACUUGAAGUUAUUCCUAGGCAUUAAGGAAUUCUUAGAAAUUGUUGUGCAGGUCUCUUAAAUGUUCUUAUGUAUCUAAUACUUUGCUGAACUCUAAAAUUUAAUUCCCAGUUGGGCAUGGCAUCACAUGCAUGUGGUCCCAGCACUCAGGAGACUGAGGCAGGAAGAUCACCACAAGUUCAAGGCCAGCCUGAGCUGCAUAGCGCGACGAGACCAUCGCAAAAAUCAAAAAAAAAAAAAAAACCCCAAUACAAAAGAACCUAAUUCCCAAAGUUUAUAAGAAUGUAUGAUGCUUAAACAUUUUUAUUGCUUGUUACUGUUUGGAAUACAACGAUAGUGUUCUCAGGCUUUCGACUGCACCAGGCUGAGAAUCAGCCCGAGGCCGAGGUUACGUGGUCACUUGGAGGCCGUCAGCGUCACUGGCUCUCAGCUCCCACCCGUGCGUGGCCCAGGGCUGAGUCUCGGCACUGCCUGGCGCGACGUGGACGUGCUGAGCCCGGGCCCUGGGCUGCAGGAUGCCCAGCAGUGUGGGCGCCGUGUCCUGUCCCCCGUUUUGAAGGUCCUGGUUGAGGCUGCCAGGCUGUCUUUCUGCCCAGCCCUGGAGGACUCACUGCCUGCCCUGCUCCUCAGUCCCCACGUGGCCCCGAGAGCGUCCGAGUCCUGUCAGGGUCUCCACUGUGCUCGGAAUCAGGGCUCACAGAACAGACUCCAGACUCACUAUCACUUUAGUCAUCACUUCUGAUUUUCUGUGCUUGGAUUAAAAAUGUUCCCAGUGGAACAGAAAGG
Molecule: long non-coding RNA, 1992 nt
Filed under: Heterocephalus glaber (naked mole-rat)
Lineage: Eukaryota; Metazoa; Chordata; Mammalia; Rodentia; Bathyergidae
Description: lncRNA (ENSHGLG00100043433.1)
Source: RNAcentral